CACCUCAUAGAUCCCUCGAGGGCUGUCAAGUACCAGAUUAACAGUUGUUCCUUCCAUAUGAGGCAUCAGAAUCAGAGGUUCCUACAACUUAUUCUUUUAUCUUUCAAUGCCCCUUGGCAAUCAUUAUUCUACCUGACCGUUUGAUCUCUUUUUCGGUUCAGGCAUUUCUGGUAUUGUUUUUUCUUUUGCUUUUCUUUUCUUUCUUUUUCCCCUUUUUUUUUUUUUUAGAAGGAUCAACCUCGAUUCCUCUUAUCCGCUCACAAUAAAC
RNAcentral lists this long non-coding RNA (268 nucleotides) under Lathyrus oleraceus (garden pea). RNAcentral's name for it is "Pisum sativum (pea) long non-coding RNA (PSAT_LNC033387)". Lineage: Eukaryota; Viridiplantae; Streptophyta; Magnoliopsida; Fabales; Fabaceae. The record is from RNAcentral.